GUUGGCGGCGUGGCAUUAGGCAUGCAAGUCGAGCGAGAACUUUUGGAUUUGAAGCUUCGGUUGAUGAUCCGGAAGGGAAAGCGGCGAAAGGGAGAGUAACGCGUAGUUACCUACCCAGGGGUCCGGGAUAGCCUCGGGAAACUGUGGGUAAUACCGGAUGAUAUCUGUGUUCUUUCGGAUGCGGAUCAAAGGUGAAAUUCCGCCUUUGGAGGGGACUACGUCCUACUAGCUUGUUGGUGGGGUAAUGGCCUACCAAGGCAAUGAUGGGUAGCGGGUGUGAGAGCAUGGCCCGCCUCACUGGGACUGAGACACUGCCCAGACACCUACGGGUGGCCUGCAGUCGAGAAUCUUCGGCAACGGGCGCAAGCCCGACCGAGCGACGCCGCGUGUGGGAUGAAGGCCUUCGGGUUGUAAACCGCUGUCAGUUGGGAGGAAAUUCUAGGGGGUUCUCCCCUUAGAUUGACCUAUCUUCAGAGGAAGACCGGGCUAAGUUCGUGCCAGCAGCCGCGGUAAGACGAACCGGUCGAACGUUAUUCGGAAUCAUUGGGCUUAAAGGGUGC
RNAcentral lists this ribosomal RNA (560 nucleotides) under uncultured bacterium. Its description in RNAcentral is "bacterial SSU rRNA". It matches the Rfam family "Bacterial small subunit ribosomal RNA", at positions 35 to 570 of the family's 1533-position model. The record is from RNAcentral.